UCCAUGUUGGAGUAGCAAGGUAGCUCAGAAUCCAGAGUGAAAUGCUGAGGAAUGCUAAGUGCUGGCAGCAACCCCUAUGAAGCCUGUUGGCAACACAUUCCAUGCAGCCAAACUGUUGUGUCAAGGGAACGCUCCCUUGGCUGACAAACUGCAGGCUGGUCAGGCCUGAAAGGUCAGACCCAGAAGUGACACUGCAAGGACCUAAUGGUAUUUGUUUCCAGUCUUCUAAGCAAAGGAGAAGACAUUUGCACUUCUGAGUUUGACGAGGAAACAUGCUCAUGCCUAGUGCUGCUAUUCAACUCAGGUCUGCUGCACAGGGGCUUCCAUGUGGUGUUUCUGGAAAAGCAACGCCUGGAAGAAGAUGGCUCUAGAAGGAACAAGACAACAACAAGGAUUCAAGGAACAAACCAAAGUGAUGAUACCACAGCCUGGAACAUUUCUUUGGCCAUCUGGGUUUGCCUGUCCCAGAUGUGUCCCCUCCCAGUUUCUUGCGCAUCCCUAUCCUCCUCAUUGGUGUCAUCAACACUGUUUCCAGCACAAAUUCACAACACAGCCCCAUAGUAGCUACUGAAAAGAAAAUUGACUCUGCCCUGGCCAUACCCAGCACACCACUCUACCCAGCACUUGUGAGGCCACAUCUGGAGCACUGUGCCCACCUCUGGGCUCCCCAGUACAAUAGGAAAUGAAGAAGACAAAGACAGACUCUUCUCAGUAGACCCCACUGAAUACCUUUGGCAUAAAUUAAAGCACAUGGAAUUUCAUCUAAA
Molecule: long non-coding RNA, 767 nt
Organism: Passer domesticus (house sparrow)
Lineage: Eukaryota; Metazoa; Chordata; Aves; Passeriformes; Passeridae
Exons: 2
Source: RefSeq, a predicted model, not a curated record